Molecule: ribosomal RNA, 275 nt
Filed under: uncultured prokaryote
Description: partial 16S ribosomal RNA
Rfam family: Bacterial small subunit ribosomal RNA
Source: RNAcentral
UACGGAGGAUCCGAGCGUUAUCCGGAUUUAUUGGGUUUAAAGGGUGCGCAGGCGGAAUAUUAAGUCGGCGGUGAAAGUUUGCAGCUUAACUGUAAAAUUGCCGUUGAUACUGGUAUUCUUGAGUGUAUAUGAAGUAGGCGGAAUUUGUAGUGUAGCGGUGAAAUGCAUAGAUAUUACAAGGAACUCCGAUUGCGAAGGCAGCUUACUAAAAUACAACUGACGCUUAGGCACGAAGGCGUGGGGAUCAAACAGGAUUAGAUACCCUGGUAGUCCCU